GAGAUAUUGGUGCAGCAUUUACUUGUCAAAGAAGAUGAUCAGAAACUUCUACUGGACCUUCAGAAAAAAACUGCUGAAGGAGAGGAUCUAAGUGAUCUGGCCGUUGAGUAUUCUAUGUGUCCAUCAAAAGAAGAUGGGGGAAUGCUGGGCUGGGUGAGAAAAGGGCAAAUGGUGCCAGAAUUUGAAGAAGCUGCAUUUGGUGCACCUCUGAAUAAGGUUGUAAAGUGCAAAACUAAGUUUGGGUGGCAUUUGUUGCAAGUUCUAUCUGAGAGGGAGGAAUCUGUACUUGAACACAUCCAGCCAAACGAGUUUCAUGUGAGGUUGCAAGAUCCGUCUUUCCUGGAAGAGGCUCAAUUGAUUGAUGUUCGAGAACCAGAGGAAGUGGCCCAGGCUUCUGUACCAGGAUUUCAGAUUCUUCCUCUUCGCCAAUUUGGAGUCUGGGGACCAGAAAUAACUACUAAGUUUGAUCCUCAGAAGGACACUUAUGUAUUGUGUCAUCAUGGCGUGAGGUCACUACAAGUCGCCAAGUGGUUGCAGACACAGGGAUUCAGGAAGGUAUUUAACGUGGCCGGAGGAAUCCAUGAAUAUGCUGUCAAAGUUGAUCCAUCGAUCCCAACUUAUUGAAGCGGGUACUCUUCGUGUCCCUGCUCUUUCCCCUGCCCCGCCUCUCGGUGACAGAGCUAAGUUUGGACAAAACCAUUUUGUUUUUGAUUUGUCCUACAAUUUUGAUUCAAACAUCCUGGGAACACAAUCAAUGUGAAUGGUUGAUCUUAGGACAUCUUUUGUAUGCUAUCUCUGUAUUUCCAACAUGCCUCAAUUAUCAAAUCAUACAAUUUGC
This 838-nucleotide unclassified non-coding RNA is filed under the name Hevea brasiliensis (rubber tree). The record is from RNAcentral. Lineage: Eukaryota; Viridiplantae; Streptophyta; Magnoliopsida; Malpighiales; Euphorbiaceae.